Long non-coding RNA from Vespa velutina, 1581 nucleotides. RefSeq lists it as uncharacterized. The transcript is spliced from 3 exons. Lineage: Eukaryota; Metazoa; Arthropoda; Insecta; Hymenoptera; Vespidae. The record is from RefSeq and is a predicted model, not a curated record.
CGAUUUUAACGCGAGUUCAAACGUGCGUGUUUACUACGUUCGCUUAUUAAUUUCCGCUUAUAUUUUUCUUAAAAGCAUUAUUUAACGUAAUAUUAAUACAUCAUAAUAUCAACCUAUUAACUUACAAGACUUCCAAAGUUACGAUGAUGAAAUUAUGUAUCGUUACAUCGUAAAUAGAUCCUGUAGAUCCAAUUAUCGGCAGAGAAAUAGUCGGAAUUACUUGAAGUAGACGAACAGGAAGAGUAAUCGGUCGAGUGGUCGUCGGGAUACGACGUCUAAGUAUAGAAAUUGGGCCGAUCGCUGCCACGUCAUCGUUAAUUAAAUCGAGCCCGGUGAUUCAGGAGAGACGACCUUUUGGCGAGAACCGGUCGUUUGUGUACGGCGGUUCUUCGUUCAUUGCUUCCAGGCGCCGUUGACAGGGUCGAUGAGGUUUGCCAACGUUCUUAGUCGCGGCGGAUAUAAUUGCUUAAUAUCCUUUGGUCGAUCGAUGUCCUCUACCAACGUCCAACAAUGAAUUUCUCAUUACUUAACGACAGUUUCAGUUACCAAGAGAAUACGCGUUUAUGUAUUAUCGAUCGAAAGUAUCGAUAAACGUUAAAGAUAAUUUUGAUAUCAAAGCGACGAUCAAUUUUACGAUUGUUUAUCCGUGAAAAUCAGAUCGAUCGAAGAUCACGAUCAAAGCCCGUGUCAUGAGAUAUCAUUUAUUCGUUCUGAUUAUCAGAAGAAAAGAAUAAAAAAAGAAAAGAAAAAAAAAAAGAAAAAAAAAAAAAGAAAAAAAAGAUUAUAUUUUAUAUAAUACUCUAUGAAACUGUGGGAGACCUUUGCUCGUAUGCAUUCCUUGGAGCUUGUUUCGAGGCUUCCGCGUGGUUUCGGGCCGUGCGAAGAUGAAGAUAUUAAAAUCGAAAUUUUGUGGGCCGAGAUAAAAAGAAUGCGGUGGAAGAAAAAAGGAGAUACGGAACGAGGUGGAGGAGGGAAGCAAGGGGAAAAAAAGGAGGCGAGUAGAAGGUAGAAGAAAGAAAGAAAGAACGAAAGAAAGAAAGAAAGAAAGAAAGAAAGAAAGAAAGAAAGAAGGAGAAAUAAAAGGAGAAGGAAAGGAGAGAAAAAAGAAAUGAAAAAGGAAAAGAAGAAGACGGAGAAGAAUAAGAAGAAGAAGAAGAAGGAGACGAAGAAGAAGAAGAAGAAAAGAAGGAGCAAGACGACAGACUGCACCGGCCCACCCGUGCGAGAUGAUGGCCACGACGUGAAAUCGCGUGAGGAUCCUUUGGGAGUAAACAAAUCAAUUCCAGCCGGGACACGUUUAUGCUCAGGAUCGUAAAUUAUCAUUAAGGUGAUUGCCUACCAGCAGUAGUACACACAUAUGCACGCAAACACCCACACGUAUGUACGCGUACACACACACACACACACACACACACACACAUAUAUAUAUAUAUAUAUAUGUACACACACAUACAUACGCACACACAUAUACAUAGGAGACUGCACGCAUAUGGAACGUCAGUAAUCCGGCAAACACGCGCCUCACGCUCCUUCGCAUCGACCUCACGCAUGAGGGUUAUGAGGAUCGUUCAGACGACGAUC